CAGGUAAGAGGCGAAGCCCGACGUGGCACGUGCACAAAACCGAACACUGCUCCAUCUCGAGGAAGGAAAUUGUGACACAGGCUGCCGCACAGAGGAACUGGAGGACAUCAUGCGGAGUGAAGUAAGCCGGUCACAAAAGACCAUCCGUGUAGGACUGCACUUCCCCGAGGCACCGGGGAGCCACAUUCAGGGAGCUGGAGUCUCUGUGUCUGCCUCUCUGUGUCCCGGAAGGAUGCGGCGAGAAGUCCGUCACCUGCCAGCUGAGAGGAGAGUGUCCCUCCUCUUGGAAUCUGUGACUCUGAGAAACCGUCUGCCCAGGGCCAGCUGCCUGCCUCCUGACCUGCCGGCCUUUCUGUACCUGAGUACUAAGAACACUGGCAGUGUAAAGCACCUUGCUGCCUGCGGGGGACUGAGCUGCAGCAUGGUGUCCUCGGGGCUCAGGUGAGCCGCUGGCUGGACCGCCCUUGCUGGCACCUCGAGCACACAGCUCAGGGCUCAUGGGACACGUGGGAGCUGCCCGGCGAUGAGGGCCCCCCAGAGGACGGCCUGAGGGGAGACCCCCCACCCCCACCCCUGCAUGUCCUGCAGAGUGGGAGCAGGAGGGUCGGGUAGGACCGCGGGAGGAGCAGGUAACUUCCCAGGUUCGGCAUAGCCUAUUCCUCCCCGCGGGGCGGUGGGCAGCCCGCUCUCCCACACCGGCCGGGCGUCCCAGGGCCAGGCUGGACCCUGCUGCAGGGGGCGGGGGCUCUGGGCCGAGGCCAACGCUGACACCCAUCACCUGUGCAGGCGGUCAGGGACCAGAAGCAGCCUCUGGGCCUGGGAGGGACGGGAGGAGAGGAGAGUGGGGACCGGCCCACAGGGAAGCAGGAGCUCUGGACUUGGGGCGUGGAUGUGUGGCUCUCAGCCCCACCAGGACAUCUCACGGAAGAGCCCCCACUUUCUGACAACACCCAAAUCUGGAGCAAACCCCUCUCUUCCUUUGACCCUGCUCCAAAUGCCGCCCCGUACCUGGGAAUCCCGUGAGCACUCCUUUCCAGCACCCCCGUGUCGGUCUGCUCAGGCUGCAGUCACAGAGGUCCACAGGCUAGGGGCCUGAACGACAGGUAUGUAUUUUCUCACAGGCUGGAGGCUGGAAAUCCAAGAUCAGGGCGUUGCUACAGCUGGUGUCUCCUUGGCUUGUAGAUUGCUGUUGUCAUACUGUGAUUUGUCACCUAGAGCCCUUGCUAUUCCCCGAGUGGGGAGAGCCAUGAAGGUGUGCUGUUUCUGUGAAGAGGUGGCCUGUGGACGGUUCUUCCGGGCGGAGGGGAGGGGGCCGGAGAUGAUUCAACCCCAGACAAGCUCCUGCCCUUGUCCCGCGCCUGACCCUGGGCCCCUCUCCCAUCUGGCUGUCCCCGAGGCACGUCCUUUUAUCAUAAACUGGUAUAACGUUCCUCUGAGCUCUGUGAGCCACUCUAGCAAAUCGGUCGAACCAGGGGAGGGGGACGCAGGACCCCGGGUCUACAGCCAGUGGGUAGAUUGGAAUCUGAGCUGUGUGUCGGGGGCCCGUCCUGUGGGACUGAGCCCCUAACCUGUGGGAUCUGACGCUGUCUCCACGCAGAUAGUGUCAGAACUGACUUGACUUGGAAGAUUCCCAGCUGGUUGGUGGGAUGUGUAGGGGGGAAGCACAUCAGAAUUGCUGUCGGAAUCCGAGCCACCUCCUCCCUGUGUCCUCACACGGUCUUCCCUCUGUGCCCGUCUGUGUCUUAAUCUCCUCUUCUUAGAAGGGCAUCAGUCACUUUGGAUUAGAAGCCACCAUAGGACCUCAUGGAACGGAAUUACCUCUUCAAAGACCCCGUCUCCAAAUACAGCCACUUCUGAGGCACUAGGGGAUGAGGACUGCAACUCAAGAAUGUAGGGGGGCCCCGAGCAGCCUGGCGCUUGGCGUGCGGUGCCUCUCCCCAGUGAGGAGUAACGCCAGCCUGUGCAACCCCAGGUGCGCUGUUGGUGGUCGGUGGGCACUGGCAAUAAUGUGACUCUGAGGAAGGGAUGCAGAAAUUCCUCGUGGGUGGAAGGAAAGCGGAGGUGGCUUCCCAAGGACUCAAAGAGGAGACUGGACAAAGUGACACCUUACCCCCCUCCCCACGCUUGGUCUGUGGGGUCUCAGCUCAGGCCUCCCCCAGGAGACAGGGAACGACUUUGGAUGCCAGAUGGAUGUUUUGGUAUUGAGUUCGGCUGGACUAUUGACCCGCUGAAAUUGGGACAGUUGGAAAACCCCAAAAUGGCAAGAAAAUCUGGAAGAUCGGCUCCAGAUAUAGCCCUGGGGGAGGAAGAGGGGACUCAGACAGAUGGUGUGUGAAGGCAGGGUGAGAAAGAAUAAAGCUGUUUCCUGUUCACA
Ailuropoda melanoleuca (giant panda) is the source of this 2374-nucleotide long non-coding RNA. RefSeq lists it as uncharacterized. NCBI's taxonomy places the organism in Eukaryota, Metazoa, Chordata, Mammalia, Carnivora, Ursidae. The transcript is spliced from 2 exons. The record is from RefSeq and is a predicted model, not a curated record.